Molecule: ribosomal RNA, 497 nt
Filed under: uncultured bacterium
Lineage: Bacteria
Description: partial 16S ribosomal RNA
Rfam family: Bacterial small subunit ribosomal RNA
Source: RNAcentral
GAUGAACGCUGGCGGCGUGCCUAAUACAUGCAAGUCGAGCGAACAGACGAGGAGCUUGCUCCUCUGACGUUAGCGGCGGACGGGUGAGUAAAACGUGGAUAACCUACCUAUAAGACUGGGAUAACUUCGGGAAACCGGAGCUAAUACCGGAUAAUAUAUUGAACCGCAUGGUUAAAUAGUGAAAGACGGUUUUGCUGUCACUUAUAGAUGGAUCCGCGCCGCAUUAGCUAGUUGGUAAGGUAACGGCUUACCAAGGCAACGAUGCGUAGCCGACCUGUGAGGGUGAUCGGCCACACUGGAACUGAGACACGGCCCAGACUCCUACGGGAGGCAGCAGUAGGGAAUCUUCCGCAAUGGGCGAAAGCCUGACGGAGCAACGCCGCGUGAGUGAUGAAGGUCUUCGGAUCGUAAAACUCUGUUAUUAGGGAAGAACAAAUAUGUAAGUAACUAUGCACGUCUUGACGGUACCUAAUCAGAAAGCCACGGCUAACUACGUG